Molecule: ribosomal RNA, 425 nt
Filed under: uncultured bacterium
Lineage: Bacteria
Description: partial 16S ribosomal RNA
Rfam family: Bacterial small subunit ribosomal RNA
Source: RNAcentral
GUUAGGAAUAUUGGACAAUGGGCGCAAGCCUGAUCCAGCCAUGCCGCGUGAGUGAUGAAGGCCUUCGGGUUGUAAAGCUCUUUAGUCCACGAAUAUAAUGACUGUAGUGGAAGAAUAAGCCCCGGCUAACUUCGUGCCAGCAGCCGCGGUAAUACGAAGGGGGCGAGCGUUAUUCGGAAUCACUGGGCGUAAAGCGUGCGUAGGCUGUUUUGUAAGUCAGAAGUGAAAGCCCAGGGCUUAACCCUGGAAUUGCUUUUGAAACUACAAGACUCGAGUUCGGGAGAGGAUAGCGGAAUUGUCAGUGUAGCAGUGAAAUGCGUAGAUAUUGACAGGAACACCAGUGGCGCAAGCGGCUAUCUGGACCGAUAUUGACGCUGAGGCACGAAAGCGUGGGGAGCAAACAGGAUUAGAAACCCUAGUAGUCC